GAUGAACGCUGGCGGCGUGCCUAAUACAUGCAAGUCGAACGAAACUUCUUUAUCACCGAGUGCUUGCACUCACCGAUAAAGAGUUGAGUGGCGAACGGGUGAGUAACACGUGGGCAACCUGCCCAAAAGAGGGGGUAAACACUUGGAAACGGUUGCUAAUACCGCAAAACCUUAGUUACGGCAUGGUAACUAGGUAAAAGGUGCCAUACUAACGGCUUUUGGAUGGGCCCGCGGCGCAUUAGCUAGUUGGUAGGGUAAAGGCUUACCAAGGCAAUGAUGCGUAGCCGAAUUGAGAGGUUGAUCGGCCACAUUGGGACUGAGACACGGCCCAAACUCCUACGGGAGGCAGCAGUAGGGAAUCUUCCACAAUGGGCGAAAGCCUGAUGGAGCAACGCCGCGUGGGUGAAGAAGGUCUUCGGAUCGUAAAACCCUGUUGUUAGAGAAGAAAGUGCGUGAGAGUAACUGUUCACGUUUCGACGGUAUCUAACCAGAAAGCCACGGCUAACUACGUG
This 512-nucleotide ribosomal RNA is filed under the name uncultured bacterium. Its description in RNAcentral is "partial 16S ribosomal RNA". It matches the Rfam family "Bacterial small subunit ribosomal RNA", at positions 28 to 507 of the family's 1533-position model. The record is from RNAcentral.